This 211-nucleotide unclassified non-coding RNA is filed under the name plant metagenome. Its description in RNAcentral is "partial contains small subunit ribosomal RNA, internal transcribed spacer 1, and 5.8S ribosomal RNA". The record is from RNAcentral.
UUUCCGUAGGUGAACCUGCGGAAGGAUCACUCAUAAUAAAGUGUUUUAUGGCACUUUUUAAAAAUCCAUAUCCGCCUUGUGUGCAAUGUUAGAUCUCGUCAAUCUUGGCGAGAUUUUUAUACAUCAACUCAUUCUUUAACUAAUUUGUCUGAAAAAUAUUAUGAAUACUUAAUUCAAAAUACAACUUUCAACAACGGAUCUCUUGGCUCUC